UCUAACCUCUACCUCCCAGCUUCUGCCUGAGCAAGCUGCUUCUUCUCUGAGAGCCCGCUUCUAACACAGAUUUAAUAAUAACCAUGCUUUGAGCUGUCUGCCAAGAUCAAAUGAAUAUAACUAUAUGUAAUGCUAAUUACCCUUCACAUACCUUCCUACCACUCCUGCUUCGCACUUCCAUGAGAGAACUGGGCCUCUGGUGAUGGCCCCAACAGAACCAGGCUAGUCCUUGCUAUUUUUGUUUUCAAGUGCAGAGAACAGAACUCAGGGCUUUGCACGUGCUAGGCAUUGACUACCUAUGAUGGAUGAAAGUUAUUCUAGAAGCCAAGACACAGAAGGAACAACAACAGCAACAACAACAGCAACAACAACAACAACAACAGUGCAGUCUACACCUUUUUGCGCUUUGGCUGCUCAUUUUGAGCUGAAGUGGCCUGAUACUCCCGUCAGGCAAUGUCUCCCACUGCUGGCUGCUCAGUCAAGCCUGUACUGUACAGAAUAUCGUCCUCGUUCACAAACAAAAGGCAGGAAACAGUGAGUCAAGUUAAAACACUGCUCCACAGUCACGGAACCAUGACUGCGCCAUUAAUCCCCGCAUCUAAACUCUUUCUAUGGGUGAGAUAGAGUGAAUAUUGAAUAAAUGGUGUUGAAUCAGUACAUUAA
This is a long non-coding RNA of Mus musculus (house mouse), 663 nucleotides long. RefSeq annotates it as predicted gene, 57797. NCBI's taxonomy places the organism in Eukaryota, Metazoa, Chordata, Mammalia, Rodentia, Muridae. The transcript has 2 exons. The record is from RefSeq and is a predicted model, not a curated record.